GAGGAAAGUCCGGGCUCUAUUUAUAAAUAUAUAGCUUUAUAAAAUAAAGUAUAGGUAACUAUAAGGAUCGUGCCACAGAAAUAUACCGCCUAAUGUUUAAAGGUAAGGGUGCAAUGGUUCGGUAAGAGCGUACCAGAGAUAUUGUUAAAGUAUUUGCUAGGUAAACCCCGUAUUAGAGCAAAGAGUUUAUCAAAAUAUAUUACUACUAUUUUUAUAAAUUAUGUAUAUUUUUUGUUUCAUUAAUACUGCAUAAAGUAUUGAAUUUGACUUAAGAUUAAUAAUUACCCUUUUCAUAUAAAUCUAAUUAAAUUAGUUGAUUGAAAAGAACUAAACCCGGCUUAU
Molecule: RNase P RNA, 342 nt
Filed under: Pterosiphonia complanata
Lineage: Eukaryota; Rhodophyta; Florideophyceae; Ceramiales; Rhodomelaceae
Description: Ribonuclease P RNA
Rfam family: Bacterial RNase P class A (bases 2-178)
About the family: Ribonuclease P (RNase P) is a ubiquitous endoribonuclease, found in archaea, bacteria and eukarya as well as chloroplasts and mitochondria. Its best characterised activity is the generation of mature 5'-ends of tRNAs by cleaving the 5'-leader elements of precursor-tRNAs. Cellular RNase Ps are ribonucleoproteins.
Source: RNAcentral